GCAAUGGUGGUUCAGUGGUAGAAUUCUCGCCUUCCAUGCAGGAGACCCAGGUUCGAUUCCCUAGCCAAUAUA
Molecule: transfer RNA, 72 nt
Filed under: Loxodonta africana (African savanna elephant)
Lineage: Eukaryota; Metazoa; Chordata; Mammalia; Proboscidea; Elephantidae
Rfam family: tRNA
About the family: Transfer RNA (tRNA) molecules are approximately 80 nucleotides in length. Their secondary structure includes four short double-helical elements and three loops (D, anti-codon, and T loops).
Source: Rfam by way of RNAcentral